UACGAGGGGGGCGAGCGUUGUUCGGAAUUAUUGGGCGUAAAGGGUGCGUAGGCGGCCUGACAAGUCUGAUGUGAAAUCCCUGGGCUCAACCCAGGGCCUGCAUCGGAAACUGUCGGGCUUGAGUAUGGGAGAGGUGAGUGGAAUUUCCGGUGUAGCGGUGAAAUGCGUAGAUAUCGGGAAGGAACACCUGUGGCGAAAGCGGCUCACUGGACCAUACUGACGCUGAGGCACGAAAGCUAGGGGAGCAAACAGGAUUAGAAACCCCACG
Molecule: ribosomal RNA, 268 nt
Filed under: uncultured bacterium
Lineage: Bacteria
Description: partial 16S ribosomal RNA
Rfam family: Bacterial small subunit ribosomal RNA
Source: RNAcentral